AGUCCCAAAAAAAAUAACAAAUUAAACUUCUUAAUUUUUUUUUAUUUAAAUCAAAAUAUCAAGAAAUUUAGCCCGUAAAAUUUGAUUUUGGACUAAAUCGAACUUAAAUUGAAACCUGUUGGCUAAUUUGGACAAAAAAUUAAAAAUGAGCUAAAUUGAACUUUCCCAAUAAGUACAAAGAUGUAAUUGAGCUUUAAGCCAUAACUAAUAUAUCAAAUUCAAAUAUUUUCAUCUCAAAUAACUAUCUAUCCAAGCGCAACCUAAGAUUUCUCAAAAAAACUUAGAAUUCGCAUUCUGUAUUCACAUUCUUUCUUAAAUCCAUUAUGCUAUAAAUAUAACGUUUCCAACAUAAGUUUAAAAUUCACGAUACAAGGAAACACAUAAUUAGCAGAACAGAUGUUUGUUAUUUGUACAUUCCAUAUAUGCAAAAUGACAAUAUAUCUCACAAUUAUUACCGCAAGAAUAUAAAUGCUUUAGUUGCCCAUAUCAGACAAAGCAAAUUAUAGCUGCAAAAGAGAAGCAAAAUGAUGAGGGGAAAAAAAGAAGCUAAAAAUCAAGAUUUCUUUAUCCUAUCCACAUCCUUGUCGGGUCUUUAAUUUAUUGCCACAUACUUGAUACUUCUGCAAUCAUCGGCGAAAAGCUUUUUAUCCGGACGACUUCAUUCAUCCUUACAUAGUCUGUUUAGUGUCACAAAUAGGAAGAAAAUUUCUGGAAAAAUGGAUAUAACUGCACAGUCUCUUUCCCAUGCUAAGCUUCCCGCAGGCUGCUCCACCUCUGUAUCAACACCCAUCUUCCAUUCUAAACCCUCUAUUCUUGCUCAUAGUUCAAUCGCUUUUCAGUCUCCAAAGAACCCUUUCGUACAGCUGCAAGGUUUCAGAAUUAAAGCCAGGAAGCACAGGAUUCUUGGACCUGUACAUGCUUCUGAGGCUGAAAUUUCUUCCACUGAUGCUCAGGAAAGAUGGCUUCUCCAACCUGUUGGUCAGUGAACUCUUUCUUUCCAACUAUUUACCUUUCCUUAUUCUUUUUUUUAACAGCAAAUUAUUAUAGGCGAUGGAGAUUCAAGACACAUAGGAUAUAAGGUGAAAAUGCCAGAUGCUUUUGAAAUUGCUUCUGUGAGUAUCUCUUGUAUCUGCUAAUUAUACUAAUUUUGUGUCAAUCAGAGUUAAACAGACCUUAAUUAGGAUUUUCUUGAACAUUAAUCAUCUAGAAUGAGGUGACCGUUGGCCGUCUUCCUGACAAGGCAGAUAUGGUGAUUCCAGUUGCAACAGGUAAUUUGUUCUGCUAAAAUAUACAAUAUCUCAAUAGCUUUUAAUAUAGCGUACCAAUUUUGACAGUAUCUGGAAUCCAUGCCCGAAUUCAGAAGAAGGAAGGAAAUCUCUUGGUUACAGAUUUGGAUAGUACUAAUGGGACAUUCAUUGAUGACAAGCGUCUGAGACCUGGAGUUGUAGCCAAGGCACCUCCUGGAAGCAUUCUCACAAUUGGUGAUAUUCACCUUGCAAAGUUUCGUGUCUCAAAGCUUGAGAAUGUGGAAAGUGCAAGCAAACCUGAAGAAUCUGAAGAUAAGGCAGAGACAAGUCCCCCAGUUGACAGCGGUGGAACGAGUUAAAAACAUCUUAUUACAUUUGUGAAACGAGUUAAGCCGGCACAAAAUAGUGAAGCUUAAUUAUUUCUUCCCCCUCUUUUUUUCUCCAAUUAAUUUCUGUUUGAGAAAUAAUAUAUAAUGUGCCCUUUUCUAGUUCAAG
Molecule: unclassified non-coding RNA, 1742 nt
Filed under: Hevea brasiliensis (rubber tree)
Lineage: Eukaryota; Viridiplantae; Streptophyta; Magnoliopsida; Malpighiales; Euphorbiaceae
Source: RNAcentral